CGCCAGACUCCUACGGGAGGCAGCAGUGGGGAAUAUUGCACAAUGGGGGAAACCCUGAUGCAGCGACGCCGCGUGAGCGAUGAAGUAUUUCGGUAUGUAAAGCUCUAUCAGCAGGGAAGAAGAUGACGGUACCUGACUAAGAAGCCCCGGCUAACUACGUGCCAGCAGCCGCGGUAAUACGUAGGGGGCAAGCGUUAUCCGGAUUUACUGGGUGUAAAGGGAGCGUAGACGGCGGCGCAAGCCAGAUGUGAAAGCCCGGGGCUCAACUCCGGGACUGCAUUUGGAACUGUGUGGCUGGAGUGCCGGAGAGGCAGGCGGAAUUCCUAGUGUAGCGGUGAAAUGCGUAGAUAUUAGGAGGAACACCAGUGGCGAAGGCGGCCUGCUGGACGAUGACUGACGUUGAGGCUCGAAAGCGUGGGGAGCAAACAGGAUUAGAUACCCCCGUAA
This 447-nucleotide ribosomal RNA is filed under the name uncultured bacterium. RNAcentral describes it as "bacterial SSU rRNA". It matches the Rfam family "Bacterial small subunit ribosomal RNA", at positions 329 to 793 of the family's 1533-position model. The record is from RNAcentral.